AGCAGCAAAUCCACGCGCGGGAUCGAUGCCGCGGCCGGGGCCGAGGCCUUACGAGUGCAUCCGGCGGGCGUGGCACAGCGAAUCCCACCAGGCUCUUCGCGGGAGCCUCACGCAGGAGAUUUUCAGGAUCGUGACGGAAUUCCAUAGGCCCGACACCCGCGGCAAAAAGGAAUGGCAGGAAAAGCUUCCCAUCGUGGUGCUACGGGCGGAAGAGAUUCUCUACUCGAAAGCUCGCACCGAGGCCGAGUACGCCGACGCUUCCACGCUCAAGGAGCGCCUGGACGACGCCGUCAACACCAUGAUCCGGAGAACCGACGAGAACCGCGACCAGGAGGCCGCGGGCGAUGGCCCCUUCAUGGAGCCCUGUGUGGAAGCUGCAUUGUCGCUGGGAUGCGCGCCCAAGAUGAAUCCCCGCGGCCAGAGGAGCUGCCCGCCCAGGAUCAGCAAUAGCUCCGCGGGAGCGUCCCUGCGAAGAACAAGCUCCGCCACGAACCCUAUCUCCUCGUCUCCAUCCUCCUCCUCCUCCUCCUCCUCCUCUUCCUCCUCCUCUUCCUCCUCCACGUCCUGCUGCUCCUCAUCGAUUUCUUCCUCCUCCGCCGCCGCUUCCAUCGCCACCUCUUCCGCCGCCGCCACCACCAGCUGCAUUACCACCUCGUCCAAUCAAUCCCAGACGCUGGCAUUCCUGAGCUUGGAGUCUUCCUCGCCACCGCCAUGGCCCAAAUCUCGAGCUCAAGCUCAUCCAUCGCCGCCAUCCUCCAUACCCGAAGUACCACCACCACCACCACCACCACCUUCCAAAAGCCGGCCUCCUUGUUUUGCCGCCGCCACGACCACCGCCACCGCCACCAAUCCAAAUCCCAAUGUCAACUUCUCCAUAAUCUCUGGAAUCGAAGCCCAGAGGUUCCAGAAGCAGCAUCAGCAGCAGCAGCAGCAGCAGAGCCUUUGUGGCUUCAGUCCGCACUUUGCACCUCCACUUCUUCCUCCAAUGGGGAGCUUCAGGUUGCAGCCUCAUGAAGAAUUGCCAACAUUUCCACCUGCUCCAACUUUUCCACCUGCCCCAAAGGAUCAGAGCUACCCAUGCCUGCACCACCUCCAGCAGCACCACAUAUUUCACCCACCGCCAUCACCAUUUCAGAGCCCCAACAGGGUUUAUCAUCCACAGCAACAAGUUCAGAAUGCUGCCUCUCCUCCCGUCCACCAGCCAAGCCAGAAGGCUUCACUCCCGCCAAUGUUUCCCAUAUGUUUGGAGCCGGCACCAGCAGCUGUGAUGCAACCAAGAUUUCAGCCCAGGGUGCGCAACCAACAAGAAGGGAGCCACCCUGACCUGGACUUGUGCCUUGGACCGCCCAAGGUUUCGAGUUCCAGACCUAAAUCGCAUCUGGCUGACCUUGCUGGCAGCGAUGGCAGCCUCGCCAGUGGCGGUGGCAACACCACGACGACGCUGAAAAAGGCAAAGAUUGUCCUUUAAUCCAGUGGGUUUUUGAAAGAGCUAAAACCCCCCCGACUUUUCACUCGCUUUCUUUUGAUCUUGAAUGGAACAACAACAUGGGCUGACUGACACGUGGUACACCCAGGUGUCAAGGACAGGGUGAUUUCAUAAAGAGGGAUUUGCACCUAGGGUUUGAAGCGUUUGAUCGUUUCCGAGUAGUGAUGCAGGGUGUACAGGAUCAAGUCUCGAGGCAGAUGCAAUCGCCGGAUCCUCGCGUGGGCGUGGAGGAGGCCCAACAGGAAUUGAAAGAGAAGUAUGAGAACGCGAGUGAGGGGUUAACGCAGAAGAAGGAUUUGGGUGGGGACGAGGGUGCCAAGGCGAUGCUCAGGGACGAAUACAAGGAUGCCAAGAAGAGCAUUGCGAGGCACGAUGGCGUCGCAGAGGCCACUGACGCAGUGGAGCUCGCGGGCGCAGGGUCACACCAGAAAAAGGAUUGAAAACAAGUGGGACUUCCACCCAUAAUAAAUUUUAUUUAAAUUUCUCAA
This is an RNA transcript of Selaginella moellendorffii, 1974 nucleotides long. It is a transcript of the gene named ras-associated and pleckstrin homology domains-containing protein 1, with no coding region annotated. The transcript is spliced from 5 exons. NCBI's taxonomy places the organism in Eukaryota, Viridiplantae, Streptophyta, Lycopodiopsida, Selaginellales, Selaginellaceae. The record is from RefSeq and is a predicted model, not a curated record.